GACGAACGCUGGCGGCGUGCUUAACACAUGCAAGUCGAACGGAAAGGCCCUGCUUUUGUGGGGUGCUCGAGUGCCGAACGGGGGAGUAACACGUGAGUAACCUGCCCUUGUCUUUGGGGUAACUUCAGGAAACUGGGGCUAAUACCGGAUAGGAUCUCCUGCUGCGUGGUGGGGGUUGGAAAGUUUCGGCGGUUGGGGCUGGACUCGCGGCUUAUCAGCUUGUUGGUGGGGUAGUGGCUUACCAAGGCUUUGACGGGUAGCCGGCCUGAGAGCGUGACCGGCCACAUUGGGACUAAGGGACGGACCAGUAGCCUACGGGAGGCAGUGGGGGGGAGUAUGACACAAUGGGCGGACGCCUGAUGCAGAAACGCCGCGUGCGUGAUGACGUCCUUUUGGUUGUAAACCGCUUUCGCCUGUGACGAAGCGUGAGUGACGGUAAUGGGUAAAGAAGCACCGGCUAACUACGUG
Molecule: ribosomal RNA, 468 nt
Filed under: uncultured bacterium
Lineage: Bacteria
Description: partial 16S ribosomal RNA
Rfam family: Bacterial small subunit ribosomal RNA
Source: RNAcentral